This 274-nucleotide unclassified non-coding RNA is filed under the name Tomentella ferruginea. RNAcentral's name for it is "partial internal transcribed spacer region". The stretch from base 1 to 46 matches the Rfam family "Eukaryotic small subunit ribosomal RNA", at positions 1786 to 1831 of the family's 1831-position model. RNAcentral also lists the same sequence under 1 other name. The record is from RNAcentral. Lineage: Eukaryota; Fungi; Basidiomycota; Agaricomycetes; Thelephorales; Thelephoraceae.
AAGUCGUAACAAGGUUUCCGUAGGUGAACCUGCGGAAGGAUCAUUACUGAACUGUCGACACGAGUUGUUGCUGGUCCUCGAGAGGGGGCAUGUGCACACUCUGUUUACAUACCCACUCACACCUGUGCACCCUCUGUAGCUCCAUGGUGUGGGGGGCCCUGUCCUCCCACUGUGGUUCUACGUCUUUACACACACACGUUGAUAAGUCUCAUGGAAUGUAUAUAGCGUUUAACGCAAUACAAUACAACUUUCAGCAACGGAUCUCUUGGCUCUC